GGAAAGUUUUUUCGGCCAGGGAUGUGCUCGCGGCCUAUCAGCUUGUUGGUGGGGUAAUGGCCUACCAAGGCUUCGACGGGUAGCCGGCCUGAGAGGGUGACCGGCCACACUGGGACUGAGACACGGCCCAGACUCCUACGGGAGGCAGCAGUGGGGCAUAUUGGACAAUGGGCGGAAGCCUGAUCCAGCAACGCCGCGUGAGGGAUGACGGCCUUCGGGUUGUAAACCUCUUUCAGUACCGACGAAGCGCCGAUGAUGGUGGUGACGGUAGGUACAGAAGAAGCACCGGCCAACUACGUG
Molecule: ribosomal RNA, 300 nt
Filed under: uncultured bacterium
Lineage: Bacteria
Description: bacterial SSU rRNA
Rfam family: Bacterial small subunit ribosomal RNA
Source: RNAcentral